AUUGAACGCUGGCGGCAGGCCUAACACAUGCAAGUCGAACGGUAACAGGAUGUGCUUGCACAUCGCUGACGAGUGGCGGACGGGUGAGUAAUGCUUGGGAACUUGCCUUUGCGAGGGGGAUAACAGUUGGAAACGACUGCUAAUACCGCAUAAUGUCUUCGGACCAAACGGGGCUUCGGCUCCGGCGCAAAGAGAGGCCCAAGUGAGAUUAGCUAGUUGGUAAGGUAACGGCUCACCAAGGCGACGAUCUCUAGCUGUUCUGAGAGGAAGAUCAGCCACACUGGGACUGAGACACGGCCCAGACUCCUACGGGAGGCAGCAGUGGGGAAUAUUGCACAAUGGGGGAAACCCUGAUGCAGCCAUGCCGCGUGUGUGAAGAAGGCCUUCGGGUUGUAAAGCACUUUCAGUUGUGAGGAAAGUUAGUAGUUAAUACCUGCUAG
Molecule: ribosomal RNA, 440 nt
Filed under: uncultured Alteromonas sp.
Lineage: Bacteria; Pseudomonadati; Pseudomonadota; Gammaproteobacteria; Alteromonadales; Alteromonadaceae
Description: bacterial SSU rRNA
Rfam family: Bacterial small subunit ribosomal RNA
Source: RNAcentral